This 72-nucleotide transfer RNA is filed under the name Oscillatoria sp. SIO1A7. Its description in RNAcentral is "tRNA-Val". It matches the Rfam family "tRNA". From Rfam's summary of the family: Transfer RNA (tRNA) molecules are approximately 80 nucleotides in length. RNAcentral also lists the same sequence under 1 other name. Lineage: Bacteria; Bacillati; Cyanobacteriota; Cyanophyceae; Oscillatoriales; Oscillatoriaceae. The record is from RNAcentral.
GGGCGGUUAGCUCAGCGGUAGAGCGCUUGCCUUACAAGCAAGAUGUCACUGGUUCGAUCCCAGUACCGCCCA